RNAcentral lists this transfer RNA (73 nucleotides) under Ailuropoda melanoleuca (giant panda). It matches the Rfam family "tRNA". Rfam says of the family: Transfer RNA (tRNA) molecules are approximately 80 nucleotides in length. Their secondary structure includes four short double-helical elements and three loops (D, anti-codon, and T loops). Lineage: Eukaryota; Metazoa; Chordata; Mammalia; Carnivora; Ursidae. The record is from Rfam by way of RNAcentral.
GCUUGGCUGGCUGAGUUGGUAGAGCAUGUGACUCUUGAUCACAGGGUUGUGAGUUCAAGCCCCACAUUGGGUG